GAUGAAUGCUGGCGGCGUGGAUGAGGCAUGCAAGUCGAAUGGGUUUAGACCCAUGGCAGACGAGGUAGGAACACGUGGGUACGUGCCCUAGAGUCAGGGAUAAUCCGUCGAAAGGCGGGAUAAUACUUGAUAGUCCCUUCGGGGUAAAGAUUUAUCGCUCUAGGAACGGCCCGCGGUCUAUCAGCUUGUUGGUAAGGUAACGGCUUACCAAGGCUACGACGGAUAGGGGAGGUGAGAGCCUGACCCCCACCGAUGGAACUGAGACACGGUCCAUACUCCUACGGGAGGCCGCAGUCGAGAAUCUUCCGCAAUGGACGAAAGUCUGACGGAGCGACGCCGCGUGGUGGAUGAAGCGUUUCGGCGCGUAAACACCUUUUAUGAAGGAGGAAUUUUAUUGACGUUACUUCAUGAAUAAGGGGCUCCCAACUCUG
RNAcentral lists this ribosomal RNA (431 nucleotides) under uncultured bacterium. RNAcentral's name for it is "bacterial SSU rRNA". It matches the Rfam family "Bacterial small subunit ribosomal RNA", at positions 28 to 505 of the family's 1533-position model. The record is from RNAcentral.